UGCCUUUGUGUUACCCAUUAACUUUGGGAACUAGUGGGUGUGGUGUCAAGGUGUGAAUUAAACACUUUGCAGCCUUUUCCUGCCCUUAAAUUUGAUAUUUUUGGUGUAGGGGCUGCAUAAGUAACAGUU
Molecule: small nucleolar RNA, 129 nt
Organism: Nycticebus coucang (slow loris)
Lineage: Eukaryota; Metazoa; Chordata; Mammalia; Primates; Lorisidae
Product: small nucleolar RNA SNORA13
Exons: 1
Source: RefSeq, a predicted model, not a curated record